GCUGCUGUAGCCCAACUGGAAGAGGCGCUGGUCUUAGAAACCAGAUGUUGUGGGUAUCUCCCUCCGGUAGACGCUCCGCGAACAACUCCCACCAGCAGUA
RNAcentral lists this transfer RNA (100 nucleotides) under Rivularia sp. PCC 7116. RNAcentral describes it as "tRNA-Leu (TAG) (tRNA-Leu-TAG-3-1)". It matches the Rfam family "tRNA". Rfam says of the family: Transfer RNA (tRNA) molecules are approximately 80 nucleotides in length. Their secondary structure includes four short double-helical elements and three loops (D, anti-codon, and T loops). The record is from Rfam by way of RNAcentral. Lineage: Bacteria; Bacillati; Cyanobacteriota; Cyanophyceae; Nostocales; Rivulariaceae.